RNAcentral lists this non-coding RNA (188 nucleotides) under Beauveria bassiana. Lineage: Eukaryota; Fungi; Ascomycota; Sordariomycetes; Hypocreales; Cordycipitaceae. The record is from RNAcentral. RNAcentral also lists the same sequence under 1 other name.
CGGUAGCAUGGCUUUUCCGGCCUCCUGAGAGUUAAAAGGGAACCCAGUGUAAUUCUGGGGCUGACGCGCAGCGGUAAGGAACGGCAAGAUGAAAGCAUUAUGCAGACACUGCUUUCUUAUAUAAGCGGGAAGUCCUCAUCUUAUUUAAGCCCCCAAGCCCGAAGACCUGCCGGAAUGACGUCGCAAGU